GGGUCGUUGGUAUAGUGGUAUUAUGAGAGAUUCCAAACCUCUUGACGUGGGUUCGACUCCUACACGGCUCGCCA
This 74-nucleotide transfer RNA is filed under the name Candidatus Thorarchaeota archaeon. RNAcentral describes it as "tRNA-Trp". It matches the Rfam family "tRNA". Rfam says of the family: Transfer RNA (tRNA) molecules are approximately 80 nucleotides in length. Their secondary structure includes four short double-helical elements and three loops (D, anti-codon, and T loops). The record is from RNAcentral. Lineage: Archaea; Promethearchaeati; Candidatus Thorarchaeota.